Molecule: long non-coding RNA, 771 nt
Organism: Amphiprion ocellaris (clown anemonefish)
Lineage: Eukaryota; Metazoa; Chordata; Actinopteri; Pomacentridae
Exons: 2
Source: RefSeq, a predicted model, not a curated record
GACAGCUGUAGGAGAAGCAGAGAAUGAAACGGAGCAAACCAGACCACGCGGAGUUAAUCAGCAAGAGAAACGAGUGAACUUAAGGACUCUUCUGAACAAACUGUAUUUUACAAAGAGUUACAAGGAGUAACUGGUCGAAGUUUUGUCAAGGAUUGUCAAGGAUUUAGAGGUUUUGUUUUCCUAUUCUCCGGUUUUUUUUAAAUUUACCCUGACAAACUGAGAGGGCGAAAGGGAGAAAGAAGCUGAGUUUAUUGUGCAAACCGCCGAUGGACAUACAGACGGACAGAAGACGUGCCACAGACAAACAGAGAGUACAUCGCAGGUGUGCAGAGGAUCGCAUCGCUGAUUAGGAGGACGACUUCUCUCCAUGUUCUUCAAUUCAUCGUACAGAUAAGCACUGAACAAUCAUCACACUACCCGGGUAGAUGGACUUUGGUUUCAAUUUAUUUAGUUUGUUAUUUUGUCAGAGCUCUGAUUUUAUUUUGUUUCUUGUGGAAUUUUCUCUACAAACAGAACUGAUUGAGAGGUCAGGGAAAAUCCGAGUUUUCCAACUUACAGGACAAUAUAAAGGGAAAAGUUGUUUCCCAAUUAAAGGACAAUAUAAGGGAAAGAACAAUUUAACUCUGAAUCCUAACGAACUGAAUCCUACUGGACUAAGGAAGGUUUUGCAUUCACUUGAAGUGUGGUUAUCAUAAACUUUCACAAAAGGUAUGAAACUGCAUAAGGUUAAGUGUUAUUGUUAAAUAAAGGCUGGCUAUAUUUUCAAAACAA